Non-coding RNA from Phalacrocorax carbo (great cormorant), 4576 nucleotides. The record is from RefSeq and is a predicted model, not a curated record. Lineage: Eukaryota; Metazoa; Chordata; Aves; Suliformes; Phalacrocoracidae.
AAAGUGUGCUCACAACAGUGACCUUAUGCCACAGAAAUAGAGCAGAAUGCCAUUUUAAAGUCAAUUGUGCUGAAGGUCUAAAAACUUAGUCCACAAUAUGAAGCUUCUGAGAUGUGGAGUGUGGAUGUGACAGCAGAAGAUCAUCGCUGAUUCACCAUUGAAUUGUUUGAUACACCAAAUAUCCAACUUCAAUCGAAAGAAGCAAGUGAGCCUCAUAAAAUGGUCCUUUAUAGGUGCCGUUGCUCACCUUCAUGAAUGUUUUCAGCUUGGCUGAUAUGUACCUCCUCCUUUCUUGCUGCACUGAGAACAAACAUCACCAGGCUGCCUAAUAAUGAGCAGCUGCUUCCCUGAGACUACAGAUGAAGAAGUCAGUGUGAAAAGUAUUGCCCUUCCUCCCACAUGGGCACAUACCAGAAGUGACACACCUACUGAUGUUAUUGUGCUGGCACAGCCCACCCUUGGCAAAUGGACAGGAAAACACCACAACAAAAAUAAGAAUUUUAGACUGCUGUUUGUUCCCCUGGCCUCACAGCAGCAUUGGCUUCCUCACCGCCAGAGCCAGACAAAAGCUGCCAUGGAGCAGAGCAGACAGCAUAUUGAGUAAUGGAGCUGCUUGCUUCUGAAGAGCCGGACCUCAUCCAUAAUUCAGAGUUGCCUUUUCCUCCAUGCCUUUGUCUGCCACUCCAAACAAGAAGGUGCAUCUACCCUGCAUUUCCAGUAGCGAACAGUGUUUGGUGAUGUUGACCAAUUAUUUGCACUGCCCCAAAGGAAACUGGGAAAAUCAUCUUUGGAAGCACACAGAUUCUGCUUCCUGUCACCAGAAAGGUUACUUUCUUUAGUCUCUGAAGGCUUUGGUGGAUCAAUUAUUUUGCAUGGGAAAAUAGAUUAGAAACAUGCCAUCAGGUACACUGUGCACAAGACAGACAGAUGGAGACAGUAGUAUCUAUCUGCUAUAGGGAAUUGUCAGAGGGGCACAACUCAUUGCACUGGUUCUUAGAGGGCUUAAUUUGCUGCUGGUAAAUAAUCUAUUUUUUAUUACCUCACAUCCCCAGAUUGUCAACAUGCUCAGCUUUUUGCCACAGCUAAUUAGACAGGCAAAAGCCUCAUAGCCUAAAGAACAAGCCUGAGCUAAGCACCUGCCAAAAUAUCUGACUUUUUUUAAGAACUGGAAUGUCAAAGAGUGAAGGGGCUGCAGAUCACAUUUAAACGCUUUGAGCAUCAAUAAGAUGAUUAGACCCAUGAGGCAAACGUUCAGAAUUUCUCUUAGGCUCACCACUGAGAGAAGGCAAGAUAAAACACUGAUAGAUAAAAACUACUGUGCAACGGUACCAAAGCUAAUUAUUCUGCUGAACUCUUGGAGAAAUCUUGCAGGGAUGUGUUGACAUCAUGCUCUGUGUGGCCACUUCUGUUCAGGAAAGCAAUAUUUAAUUCCAUAUUUGAAUGAAGUCUCUUUGUGUAAAGAAGAGCUUUCAGAAAGGAAUUUGUCUGAACCAAAACAAAGAAUGACCUUGCAAUUAGCCAGGCAUGGCAGAUUUGGCAGAGAGCAGGGGCCUUUUAUUCCUUUUUAUGGUGUUUUUUGUUUGUUUUUCCCAUCCAUCAUUUAAAAAUCCUGUUUUUGAACAAUGAACAUAGGAGUUUUUCCAAAGAGCUCUGCACCAAGGACAAAACGCACCGAAUGAUGCCACUGUAUCAAGCAUGGCAUGAUUAAGGUAUGCAUGCAAAUAGCAGCAAAGGUAUCCUUGCAGUCUCUGUAUAUUCUCAAGGGACAGACUAGCAGUGUUAACAUUGCUGUGUCUCCGUGCCCCACUGUCUCGGUGUGCUGCCCAAGGCUGGCUUUCACACAGUGUAGUGACUGUAGCCCAUGCUGCCUGAAGCACCGUGUGGUUUUCCCCACUAAAGAAACAACUUGUUCUUCAAGAUCAGGAGAAUCUAUAGUCUAUCUAUGUAUCUAUAAAAUGAAUAAGUUAUACAGUAUUCAUAUGUUUGGAGGAAGAGUUUGGGUAGAGACAAUGGAGAGUAAAAAUGGCUGCCAGGUUCUCAAGACCCGAAUGGUAAUUGAGCUUAGUAGGACUGUCACUACUUAAAUCGAGUGGUGCAGUCAGGCUAUAGACUACUUUUGACUUUCCAUGGUUAUGAGCCCUAACACAUAUUUGUGCCUUGGGAAGUCGUCCCAGAAUUUGCUGACUUGUGAUUUUUCAUCAGGGACCCUGCUCCCUCAGUUAAAGUGAAUAACCUGCUUUCUCCUUAUAUUAAGUUUUAAUGCGAUAACUUUUUGGACUUUCAUGUUUCUGAUAUUGCAGAGGUGGAGACAGAAUGGAGUUCAAGCAAGGAAAGUCAAUAUAUAUCAUCUGCCCACAGUGAAGUAUAAGCAUUCACCAGCUAAUGUCAUAUAUUAUUCGAUGAUAUUGGUGUUGCUGGAAGAAAACUCUAGGACUGAAAAUAGUAAGGAUAAAAAACUGGCAGACUGUGUGAUUUCUUCUGAUUGAAUGCAAGGUGAUAAAUUUCUUUUGGCUCCAUUUAUAGUCAUAGUCUUGUUUUAUAUGGAUUUACUGUUCUUAAAAAAAAAAAAAAUCAACUCCAAAUAAUUUAGGGAUACAAGAGAACCCACUCUACUCUGUCAAUGGCUUUCCAAGUAGCAAAAUUUAAGGUAGCUCUUUCUUAUUGUCCUCAACACUGAAAAUGUUCUCUCCACUAUGUAACUUCAGUAAUUUCUAACUACAGAGAUUUCAUAUAUUCUGAAACCAGCAACACCUUGAGAAAUGGAUUAAACCUUCUCUCUUGUAUGAAAUAACUCUGCUUCAAGCUCCAUCUCCAACACAAGACCACCGUAUUGUUCACAGAGGGAUCACUUAAGCAGAGUUUAGGGUUAUAUCACCCAGACUAUGCAUAGGGAAUCAUUUUUUACCAUAUAUGUACAGCUGAUGUUUUAUGGUAACCCUAUUCUGCCACUGCAUAAGAGUCUUUCACACAGUAUAUAAUUUGGGUACUGCUAGACAUUGCAGGGUAUCUACACAGUUUGUUCUAUAGGUGGACUACAAAAUCUCCUAUUGAGGAGGGGGGCAGUAGGAGAGCAGCUGGGUGGGUGCCUGGCAACUGUCCGGGGUCAACCUAGCACACAUGGGUCCCUCUAUCUGCAUGGUCAUGAUUGAGAAGAAAAGCCAAAAUGCUGAAAUUUUUCUUUCAUUUUCCUACGUUUAGGGUGAAAUCAUAUUUAACACUUCUGGUUGUUGUUGUUUACCUGAAUUUUCAAAAUUCAAGUUGUCUGUUUCCCUGUUUUCUAUUGCAAGGAAAUGAGUGAAUUCUUGUAAUUAUUCCUUUCUCUGUUAGUUAUUUUGUAGUAUUUUCUCUCCUAGGCAGAAAUGUCAGUUACAAAGUGGCAGAGCUCUGCAGCCGUGGUCUGGUUUUACCAUUUGAAGUUUUUACUUCCGCUGAGAAAGCAUGAAGAUUCCCAAAGCAAUGAUGUAAAAAUGAAGGUGAGCGGUGAACAGGCUAAACUAAAAUUGGACAUUGCAUUGUAUGCCCAUAGCAGAAAAAGGAAGUUAAAAUUACUAAAACAAAAGACAUUGUGGCCAGUCUCAGCUUGCAUUGUUUCCAGCUCUGGUUCUAAAAGUCUGGCUAAUGCCUUUCUUCAUUCAAGACAAGGUCUGUUUGAGAUUAGGACAAUAGUGAGUUGGGCAUAGUAUGUCACGCACAGGUGUCAGAGUUUCCUUUGAGAAGUACCUCACCCACAUGGGAAGUUACAGCAAAGGGUGGGAAAGGAAUUAGUAGAAACUGAGGCAAGGAGCUGAAGUGGUCCUGCUCUCUCUCUCUUUCACUCGUGCAUGAUUAUAUAUGCACACAAACACCCCCAUAUACAUAGAUGGUCUUUCAUCCUUCCUGGUCUGUUUUCCACAGACUGCUCUGUCAACCUUUUUCCUUCUUUUAAUUAAUUAAACAUUUCACAUAUCCAGUGAGAUUUCUAAGGCUGACCAUGGCUUGUUGUGUGAUCAACGUUGAGCUGCAUGGUUUCCCCGCAGGUGCUGAUGUUCCCGCAGAGGUGUUGCAGUGCUGCCGGUGUGCUUGCAUAAAGAGCUCAGCUGUGGGCCUGUGUUCAGAUUACACACAGGGAGCCAAAGCAACAAUUUAUACAGUAGUCUCUGAUGCACUUCCACCUUUCCUGGCAGUCAGGUUAAGCCAUUUCAGGAAUCGCAGCCUUGGCAGGGCAAUCACUCAGUUUUCUGGUUCCCCUAGCCCGAAAUGCAUUCCCUGUCUGCCAAGACUUGAGAGAAAUGCAUCCAUAAUCCACUGCUCCUGUUUAUAGGAACAAAGCUUGCUUUACUUUACUUGAAUUUGAAUAAAGGUAUUUGCACAUCCCCGUUGAAUUUUUUCCACCUGUAUUUUUAUCCAUAACAGACUGUCUCUAUACUAGCAGUGACUGAUCAAUUGUUUGGGGGUUGUUUGUUUUCAAGGCAACGCGUGGGUGAUUCUCGAUUCUCUCCUGUAGCAGAGCAUGCUGUUAUCAAUAUGUUACUUUCUUUUCACUGGGAACAUAGCUUUCAGAAGGCAUGUAAAAUAAAUGGGUUCUGUUUUAAUUCAA